Molecule: long non-coding RNA, 999 nt
Filed under: Gossypium raimondii (Peruvian cotton)
Lineage: Eukaryota; Viridiplantae; Streptophyta; Magnoliopsida; Malvales; Malvaceae
Description: long non-coding RNA (GRAI_LNC006666)
Source: RNAcentral
GUACAUAGUAAACACAAUUUCGAAUAUUUAUCACAUAUUCUAAAUAUCACCAAUUGAAUCUGUAAUACCCAAAUUUGCUCCGGGCCCGUUAAAAUAAUAAAAACCAAAAAAUAAUAAAAGUUCAAUGUUAGAUAGUCCAUUUACAUAGUCCAAUAUAAAUUUUAAUUACAAACCCAAAAUAUCAGGCCCAACUAAAUUUAACCUAACCCAAAUGCCUAAACCCUAGCCCACUAGCCUGAAACAAAUCAGCAGCAACAACUCCCAGCGCCGCAAGCAGCCAAGCCUUCCCUUCGCGCGUGCGCUACCUCCAAGCCUGUACUUGCACAGCAAAGAUGGCAACAAACAAUAUAGGCAGAAUAGCAAGAAAAUCAGAAAAAUCAGCGAGCAAAUAAGGCAUUUUAAAUUAGAAUAUUCUUACCUUUUUCUUUUUUUCAUAGUCUGCUAUAAAGAGCAGACUCAAAUCUGUAAAAAGGGAGGGGGCAAAAUAUUGUAUUGAAAAAUUAAAAAGAAAAUACAAGAGAGAAAAACAUUUCUGAAGGUGACGGAUUUUGUUUUUUUUUUCCUAUGUUCUUUUUACUGUUUUUAUUUUAUUUUUGUUUUUCUUUUGUUUCUUAAAACAAAACAAAAAAAAAAACAAAAUAACAAAAGAGAAGAGAAGGAGAUACUUACCUGUGUGGAGGAAGACUGAGCUCUAUUUGCUCUGCCCGAAUCGGGGCCGGAGGGAGACUUCGGGCCUGCUAAAAUGGCGGCGGCAGUGACUGAGUUGAAGCCCUAGCAGAGGCUAGGGUUUAUAAUUUUUUUUUGUUGUAAAUAUGGCAGGAAAUGUUUUUUUUUUAAAGAAAAUGUUAGUUUUAUAAUUGAUUUGAAAUGGCGCCGUUUGAUGGGGGAGGAUCCGCACGUUGACCCGAUCUGACCCGCGGGAUCCGCGCAUUUCUUUAAAUUGGGUCAUUUGCGCAAUUGGUCCUCUUGUUUUACAAUGUUCUUAAAUGACUUUUUUUA